GGUGCUAAUACCGCAUAACCAUAGUUACCGCAUGGUAACUAUGUAAAAGGUGGCUAUGCUACCGCUUUUGGAUGGGCCCGCGGCGCAUUAGCUAGUUGGUGGGGUAAAGGCUUACCAAGGCAAUGAUGCGUAGCCGAACUGAGAGGUUGAUCGGCCACAUUGGGACUGAGACACGGCCCAAACUCCUACGGGAGGCAGCAGUAGGGAAUCUUCCACAAUGGGCGAAAGCCUGAUGGAGCAACGCCGCGUGGGUGAAGAAGGUCUUCGGAUCGUAAAACCCUGUUGUUAGAGAAGAAAGUGCGUGAGAGUAACUGUUCACGUUUCGACGGUAUCUAACCAGAAAGCCACGGCUAACUACGUGCCAGCAGCCGCGGUAAUACGUAGGUGGCAAGCGUUAUCCGGAUUUAUUGGGCGUAAAGGGAACGCAGGCGGUCUUUUAAGUCUGAUGUGAAAGCCUUCGGCUUAACCGGAGUAGUGCAUUGGAAACUGGGAGACUUGAGUGCAGAAGAGGAGAGUGGAACUCCAUGUGUAGCGGUGAAAUGCGUAGAUAUAUGGAAGAACACCAGUGGCGAAAGCGGCUCUCUGGUCUGUAACUGACGCUGAGGUUCGAAAGCGUGGGUAGCAAACAGGAUUAGAUACCCUGGUAGUCCACGCCGUAAACG
This 662-nucleotide ribosomal RNA is filed under the name uncultured bacterium. Its description in RNAcentral is "bacterial SSU rRNA". It matches the Rfam family "Bacterial small subunit ribosomal RNA", at positions 159 to 808 of the family's 1533-position model. The record is from RNAcentral.